This is a non-coding RNA of Myodes glareolus (Bank vole), 4631 nucleotides long. NCBI's taxonomy places the organism in Eukaryota, Metazoa, Chordata, Mammalia, Rodentia, Cricetidae. The record is from RefSeq and is a predicted model, not a curated record.
CGCACAUGCGCGCACAUGCGCACUGUGUCCUUUGCACAGGAGGCGGUGCCUAUCCUUCCAACAGGACGUGCCCGCGUUCCUGAAAGGACAGCUUGAGUUGGCUGCCUUGCUUCAGAUUUUCCAAGCCCUCUGUAGCAGUACGCCUGAGAGACCCAAGUGGACACAUAGGGCUGCCGCAGGAGGAGGCGUCCAAGCUAGCGGGGUGAGAUGGGACCGUCAUUCCUUGGGGGAACAACAGCUUCUGGGGACUGGUUUCCUCGGCGACCUUCCUCUAGGUACUGGACGCUGUCCUUGGCUAUGUUGGUUAACAACCAAAUGUCAUCAUCUGCCGGAGGCUCCUGCCUCGUGAGACCUCCUGCCCAGACGUCUUCACUCCAGGUCUCUAUGGGUGAGACUUUCCGACACCAGCAAUGGCUUUACAAGCAGUAAGAACCGUAGAAGAAGGGACACACAUGCCAGCGUUCACGAGGCAUCUGGUGACCCUGUUCUUCUGGGACACCAAUGAGGACGCUGUAGCAUUCAUUCUUUGGAGUGUUUUAAGGCUCACGUGAACUCGGAACAGUCGCUCCCGGACACCCAGUGGCAGUACCGCCAACACCUGCCAUCUUGCUUCUAUUUUCCUCAAGUCUUCCUGUGUCUUUCUGACCUCCACCCUCUGUUCUCUAAAUCACACACUGGAUAUGAAAAGCCAAGCCCUCUCCCCUCACAGGACUCAGUCUGGUGACUUGAUUACCUCUCCAUUUGCAACAGGGAGGCCCCUUGGGUCAGAAUUCAAUGUGAUUUCCAGUAGGAGAGGGGAUAGGUUUACUCUGCUCUCUCUGCCCGUCCACAGCUGUCCUGUAGACACAAAGCCUCCUCGGGCUCGGAGAGCGCCAGCUGACCUUCAGCCUGGCUGAUUUGCUGUGACCCUUACCGCUUGGAGAAGAAGGGUGGAAUCCUAGGAGUCAUACAGUCUCUAAGAGGAAGGCCCUAGAAACAGGAGAAUAAUGACGACCCAAGACCAAGGCCCCAAGUGCUACCGAGAUCAUGACCGUCAUCUCAGGUGUACUCAACAGAUCAACGGGACAAAAUCUGUCAUCUGAAUCCCAUUGCCUGAGAGCUGGAAUACUUGGAUUCCGGUUCCAACUCAGCUGUUAAGGCGCAUGCUUUCCAGUUUGGCAAUGACAUUCCUGUACACCGUGCGAGCAUAGACUCUUCCUUCACCUCCAGGCCUCUUGUCCUGUCUGUAAAGUGAAUAAUUGUUAUGGUUCCUUUCAGCUUUAGUCUCUUCUUUUCCUUCUGAAUUUAUACAACCAGGAGGAAUACUGUCGUGUAAAUGAAAGUGUUCUCUAGGCCCUCGGUAGAAGGGGCAAACACAUGACAAGGGAAAAGGCAAUGUGGUUAGACGUAAGGAGUUUUAGUUUACACUGAGGUGGUAAGUAUAUAAUCCCUGCUUCUGGAAUUUGCUGGAAGCGCGUUCUCCCAGUUGAAGGGAAACCAGAAGGGAGCAAGCCAAAGCAUGGUGUCUCCACCAUGGACUCAGAAGUGCGAUGCUAUUUCUCCGGGGCGAAAGGAAUUCUGGAAGAGGGUAGGUGUGUUCUGCAGCAUGUGUUGAACCGAGUUUCCACUAGACAAAGAACUCCUCAAGUCUGUUGCCUUCACACUGGACCCAAGAAGGAGCCAAGCCUAUGUGGGGUACUGAAAGAAAAACGAUGACAACCCGUACAGACCCUCUCUGUCGCUACAGUUGGGACACUGAUGUGGAGGGGAAAAUUAUUAUAGGAAUGACUAUCAGUACUGAGGUUUAAAGAGCUGCAGUAACUUAAUAAUCAGCUUCUUCAGAUCGAUGCUAUUGUUAACAAUAGAUAAAAAGUAAAAAGAUAGAUAGAUAGAUACAUACAUACAUACAUAGAUACAUAGAUACAUAGAUAGAUAGAUAGAUAGAUAGAUAGAUAGAUAGAUAGAUAGAUAAAAAGAAAGAAUACAAAACCUGAACGGUAUCCCUGAGUAUUAGAAGGACCUGGCUGUAAUCCAGAGGCUUCUAAAAAUGCCAAGCAUAAGUGACUGGACAUAUUCUGCCAAGGUCUGGGCACUUGGUGCAACCCUAGUAGAAGCCAAAUUUGCGCUCCUUGAUCAAGAGCUUUCAUUAAACCAUCACUGGGUUUUUGGUACUUAUUUCUUGGAUACUGCUAGCAUUUAGUAGGCUGGUACUGUAAGCACUCCAAGUGGCUCUCCGCCAUCACAGGCCCCAAAGUUCUGCAGACUUUUGUAUGUGUGACAGUGGGACAGAUGACGGCGCGGGUGUGCACAGACCAGAUGAGGAGAGGAUAAGAAGGAUGCCGACAGAUUUGGCCCCCAUCAUCCGAGCAGCCAACACUGUGUCCUCUAAUGUGCGAGCGGUGCAUGCUGGGCAGUCAAUUAAUCUCUGCAAUUUGAAGUUCCUCUCUCCAGAGAGGGCACAGUGAGGACCCCAGUCAGAUUUGUCAGUUCCUUUCCCCGCCUCCACCCUCCUCAAAUAACCGUGACCUUGGCAUAUCACACAGCAAGAUGGCUUCCCAAAUCAUCAAUGCCAUGCGAGGUUUCAAAACUUCUACCCCCACCCAGGCUAACACCCUUUUGCAAUGAACCCUAUAUAUGAAUCUUACUUUCUUUUUUGCAACUAAAAAAGGUGUGAGCAAAGAUGUGGAGUUUUGCUUAUUUUUAGUGAAGGGUCUUUUUUCUCUACAGGGGAGGAGGAGAGGAUACCUUUUACUCGCAUUGGGUCACUCCUUUCCAACAAAGUGACUCUGAAAACUACCUGCUUGUUUAGCCACAGAGUCUAAGAAGAAGCAAGGUGGGGAUGAGAACAGACCAGACCCGAAAGCAUGGAGAUCAGCCCGGUUCUCAAGGCUGCAGUUGUGCAGGACCGCACAACUGUUUCCCUUGGGUCUCCCAGGAGAGGUGGCACCACUUUUUCUAGGAAUCAGCCAAGAGCUAGCACAUCGAGGCGAUACUGUUCACCAGAUGCCUUGUGGGCUUAGAACUUAGAUUUGAACAAGUCAGACAAUGUGGUGCAGGGAGGUUUCUCUUGGCAAUAACUGUCUGGAAGUCCUGUUCUGACCUAAGAACACCAAAAACACAUUAAGAAGAUGUGUGCAAUCUAAGUUUGUAUAUGUCGUGAAAGGGCCAGAGAGAAAGAGAGAGAAGACUGCAAGGAGAAGCCCUUGCUCCAUCAGCGGACAUCAUUGGUCUCUGUAUGUAGAAACCCACACGUAUGUUUGUGAGCCUGAAUCGUCCAUGUGCGAACAGCGGAAGCACUAAGGGAGGGGCAUUCUCUUUUGACUCUAACGGAACAGAAUUUAGCAGCAUCAACUCCAGUCCAGAAUCCAAUACGCAUGGGCUUAGCAAGCCCUGGUCUCCUCCACACUGGAGGCUGUGGGAUGUGUCCCAGCGAGGCGCAGAUGAAACAAUGCGCAUGAAAGGGCUGCCCAAAUAUAAACCAGAGCACUAUUAUUUAUGAUGAAUAAGCACGGAGGAAUCCAGGUGCCAAUUAUUCGGCUAUCUUUUCACUGGGUUAGGUAAUCUAGCCAGAGGGUGAAUGGGUAAGAUUUUCCCCACUUAGGUUCACAGCCAAUAUGUAAAUCUGUAAUGCACAGGUGUCUGAGAUCUAUUAUUUAUGAGCAUAUUUUAAUAUGCCACAUUGUCUCUAGUUCUCCUCUGGAUCUGUAGACAGUGGAAAACACCAAACUGAGAAGAGUCCUUGGUGAAUUUAGCACCUAUCUGUGGAGCUCAGCAGUGUCACGGAUCUUUAGGAUAGAAGGCGCUCCUGGUUGAAAGGGUCUGUUCUGACAGUUAGCCACCUCUUUCCUCCAGCGAUGCUUGCCCCUGGUUAAACUCUUUACCGUAUUUUCUGAUGUAAAUAUCAGGCAGUUUCAUGUUUGUUCGUCUGCAUUAAGACCUAAUCACUGGAAUUUGGAAUCCUAGCAUCAGGAUAUUUCACAAGCAACCACUGGCUUUUACCACCCAUCCGCUGUGAAGUUAUCUUCCCUGAACUAAAUUAACAAAUUCAGCUCCUAUGUGUAGUCACCAAAAGCAUAUAUUUGAAAAAGAGGAUUCAGUGUGCCAUAUUUAUGCAUUAUUUAAUGGUAUGCAAAUUAUAAGUCAGACAGGAAAAACCACACGUCAGCAUUAAUAAACAGCAAUACUUCUACAUUAAUUAUGAUAUUGCCAUGAUUUAUUCCCUAGUUUUGCAUCUUGAUUCUCUUUGAAAAUGUAUGCUAUCUGAUAAGUGAAAGCCUAUUUCCUCUUGUACAUCUUCUGUCCAUCCCUUGAGUCUGGUCCUCAUGCCCACCCCAUGGGCUCCUUUAGGGAACAGGUACACAAACACAAAGCCCAAAGCGGCCACAUUGUCUUGCGAACAUUAAAAAUUAAAGAACAAGCACACGCUGCCUAAAGCUCCAACAUUUAUUAUGUCAAUGUUAAGCACACUUUUUAAAAGACAACAUAGAAUGUAUAGAAACAAGGGGUUCGGGGCUCAUGCUCAUUUCCACAAUAAGGGUAGCUGGAUUGGCUGGUUUCAAAAGGGUUGGACGGCGCUCGGACAGCGACGGUCCGGGGGCCCUCUAAUGGGACGGGUGCACUGUUCCAAUGCGGGUCUGUUUUUUUGUUUUUAA